AGUAGCUUUGACAGUAAAGCAUCUGCCUGCAAUGCAGGAGACCCAGAUUCGAUCCCUGGUU
This is a non-coding RNA of Bos taurus (domestic cattle), 61 nucleotides long. NCBI's taxonomy places the organism in Eukaryota, Metazoa, Chordata, Mammalia, Artiodactyla, Bovidae. The record is from Rfam.